GUAUGUGUACAUUCAUCUUAAGAGAAGAGGACAUCUACUCCUCUCAAUUUCUAAAGCCACAAUAUGCCAUCCAAUAUUGAAGAUUGAAACCAUUAAUCAUGACCUAUACCAUUAACAUGUGUAGAGAUAGAAAUCAUUUAUUUUGCUAAUUUAUAACCUAUAAAUCGAGUGGGUGCAAAAAUGAAAGGUUAAGAUGACACC
This 201-nucleotide long non-coding RNA is filed under the name Elaeis guineensis (African oil palm). Its description in RNAcentral is "long non-coding RNA (EGUI_LNC020542)". The record is from RNAcentral. Lineage: Eukaryota; Viridiplantae; Streptophyta; Magnoliopsida; Arecales; Arecaceae.